Molecule: small nucleolar RNA, 108 nt
Organism: Diospyros lotus (date-plum)
Lineage: Eukaryota; Viridiplantae; Streptophyta; Magnoliopsida; Ericales; Ebenaceae
Source: RefSeq, a predicted model, not a curated record
AUUCCAUGUUGAGGACAAUUAGCACACAAUUGUUUAAAUCUUUCCCAAUACUCAUGAAGGGUUUCUGUAUCUUUCUGCUUUAUUCCACAUAUCUUCCCUUCUGAUGCU